Molecule: non-coding RNA, 29 nt
Filed under: Mus musculus (house mouse)
Lineage: Eukaryota; Metazoa; Chordata; Mammalia; Rodentia; Muridae
Source: RNAcentral
UACUUUGACUUACACUCCAGAGAGGGAGC